This is a long non-coding RNA of Diceros bicornis minor, 480 nucleotides long. RefSeq lists it as uncharacterized. The transcript has 4 exons. The record is from RefSeq and is a predicted model, not a curated record. Lineage: Eukaryota; Metazoa; Chordata; Mammalia; Perissodactyla; Rhinocerotidae.
GUAGGUAUCCAACAUCCAGGCGCAUUGUCAUCGACACUGCUGGGAAAAGGGAGAAGCAGGCAACCCACAUCCUCUGCUCCCUGUCCUCCUAGACCUUGGGAAUUGCUCUGGAAAUCAGGGAAACACAGAGAGCAGAAAAACAGUCUGUCUACCUUUAAAAGCUGGAGACAGGUGAAGAGCUUUCUGAUACAGAGUGAGAAAUAGACACUUAGUAAUUUGGAUUUGAGGUGAACAAGCAACUGUCUCUUGGCGAGAACUUGUGUGGUUCUGGUUUGGAGAGAUCUGCUAUGGAAAUGCAUGGGCCAGCCCCAGGAGAGCACCGCUGACGGCGAGGGCACUGCUCCCUUCCAGGGGGCUCCAGCUGGACCAGACUUGGGACUUGUGGCCUUUUUGGUGUAAAGGUUGUUAAAGUCUCUCUACUAGAGUUUGCAGUCCUCGAAAUCGGAAACAGGACUUAUCUCUUCAGCCUCUUGUAGAAUA